This 324-nucleotide ribosomal RNA is filed under the name Triticum aestivum (bread wheat). RNAcentral describes it as "partial small subunit ribosomal RNA". The record is from RNAcentral. Lineage: Eukaryota; Viridiplantae; Streptophyta; Magnoliopsida; Poales; Poaceae.
GCUCUGGAUAGCCCAUUCUCGUCGGCGGAAAUCUCGGAGGCUAUCAAGCGACUUCCUUCUGGAAAAUCCCCCGGUCCCGACGGAUUCACUGCUGAGUUUCUGCGUUCAUGUUGGCUCAUCAUCAAGGACGAUCUUUGCGACGUCUUUGACAAGCUCUACGCGCUAAAUGGUCAAGCCUUUCAGCGGCUUAACGAGGCAUACAUCACUCUACUGACCAAGCGGCCCGACGCCGCCUCCCUCUUUGAUUACCGGCCAAUCAGCCUCAUCCACCUGAUCGCGAAGCUAUUUGCUAAGGUUCUUUUGCUUCGGUUGGCGCCGCGUCUU